UACGUAGGGUGCAAGCGUUAAUCGGAAUUACUGGGCGUAAAGCGUGCGCAGGCGGUUUUGUAAGUCAGAUGUGAAAUCCCCGGGCUUAACUUGGGAAUUGCGCUCGAAACUACUUGGCUGGAGUGUGGCAGAGGAAGGUGGAAUUCCACGUGUAGCGGUGAAAUGCGUAGAGAUGUGGAGGAACACCAAUGGCGAAGGCAGCCUUCUGGGCCAACACUGACGCUCAUGCACGAAAGCGUGGGGAGCAAACAGG
Molecule: ribosomal RNA, 253 nt
Filed under: uncultured bacterium
Lineage: Bacteria
Description: partial 16S ribosomal RNA
Rfam family: Bacterial small subunit ribosomal RNA
Source: RNAcentral